Haplochromis burtoni (Burton's mouthbrooder) is the source of this 1875-nucleotide long non-coding RNA. RefSeq lists it as uncharacterized. The record is from RefSeq and is a predicted model, not a curated record. The transcript is spliced from 3 exons. NCBI's taxonomy places the organism in Eukaryota, Metazoa, Chordata, Actinopteri, Cichliformes, Cichlidae.
GUGGAACCCCGACUUAGGAAUACCCCAUUUAACGAAAAAUUCAAGUUACGAAGGCACUUAACGGCAAUAUUUCUGCCCGUGUUACGACAAAAUGCCCGCGUAACGAAAUCUGCUGGCUCUGAUUGGCUGAGCCCACAAUGCCUUCCCAAUCAUGUGACAACCCCCUUGGCUUUCCUACUUGCGCUGUGCUGUUCCACUUGAACGACGUAUUGUUGCAGUUAGCAAUUAGCCUAUAGCCUAUCGUUCACUCAAAAGGGUGCUUCGACUUACGAAAAUUUUCGACUUACGAAAUACCCUCGGGAACGAAUUAAUUCCCUGUGGCUUCGAAUUAAAACUGUUGAGAGGAAGCUUCCUAACAGCUCUGUGGAUCUCCCACCUUGUGAGGGGCAAGGAGACCGUGGCACAGCCCUCCAGCACCUGGGCACCAGGAUGUCGUCUCCAGGCUCAAUUCAUUCCUGUCAGCACGCUGUGAGAUGACUGCAUUAUCAGGGGUUGAUAUCCCCCAACGAUGCGUGAGCAUUUAUGAUCCGUCUCACACACCGGAUUCCAGGGGUUUCUGUCACCGCAUGUUAUCUCCACUCAGCGCUAUCAUUGUGGGCAGAAGUGCUGGAGAUACUGUAGAGCUGAAUGGGAGAGAAAAAACACACACAACUAAACAGGGACAAAGAAAAGUAAAGAAAAGCAUUCACGUCUGUAAAAGUUAUGCAAACGAUCACAAUCGGGGACAGAAGGUUCGGUGAAAUAAACUGAACUCAGUGGCAUUUGUAAGCCAAGAUUUCCCAGUAUUGUAACUUUUACGAUUUACAUUUAACAAAGUACUUGAAAGUGAGAAGAUUCAUAGCACUCAUUUUGUAAAUUGUUUACGGCACAUCAUUUAACACUCAGUGCAACGUGUUUAUUAGUGAGAAUUCUUACAGCUGAUGUGAAUUUAAAGUGGGAACAAGAACAUGCGAUAGGUCUGACAUGUGUUUAAUUCUGCAUUAACGUCUUCCUGGUGGAAGCAAACAGGCUUGCCAUUAGACAUUCAUUAUAUUGAUUUUGCAGCAGAGUUGAGUCUCGUAGGAAAAUGAGGUUUCUCUCCCUUUUGUCUGUCAGCUAAUUAUUGAAAACAAGAUUUGCUUCUGAUUAAGGGAGCGGGUCGUUGUUGCUGCAGACACAUUGACAUGCACAAAACACCUGAGGUUAGUGGAGGACAGUGGGUGGAUAUGGUUGGGGCAAGGUCUUUCCUCCUUAAGCCUAUUAAAGAAACAGAUGCCAGAUCUUACAAGGUUUGCUUAUAACAAGGUGGAUUAAAUUGCACCAUAUGUCUGCAUUACUUUCCAGCCAUUUUAAGCAAAUAUUGUAGCUGUGUCUGCAAUUCCAAUUCAAAGCCACUGACAAUGAAGAUGUCUUUUUUUCUGGGUUUGUUAUGCUAAGAGUGGGAACGGUGUGAGAAUAUGAACACUCGCUUUUUACCAAAUGAUCUUCAAAUCCUGUUGGCGUUCAGAAAACAACACCAAUUCAAAAUUAAUCACUGAAGACAUGUUUUUAUGUAUUAUGUGGAUAUCUUACUUUUCUAAAAUCAGCCAACUUCCUUUAACCUGCCCAAACAUAAAUGUCAUUCCUCUCCAUCCACCUCACUCACGAGGGAUGAACAAAUGACCUUUUCAAGCUCCUUCCUGGAAUCAGCUGUGCUGAGUGUACUGUAAAAGUACUGACAUAAUGGCGUCUUUAGCAUUUUUCCCACACAUUAAACUGCAAAUAAUAUUGAUUACUUUGAAGUUAACUGUAUCAAAAGACCAGCUGUACUAGAGUCUGUGCUACAGUUUUGGUGAGAGAUAAUGCAGUAUUUUUACAUGUAAACGCUGUGAUGUGUCCAUACAGUCUACAGCAGCG